GAUGAACGCUGGCUACAGGCUUAACACAUGCAAGUCGAGGGGAAACGACGGGGAAGCUUGCUUCCCCGGGCGUCGACCGGCGCACGGGUGAGUAACGCGUAUCCAACCUGCCUCUGACUGAGGGAUAACCCGUCGAAAGUCGGCCUAAUACCUCAUGGCAUCGUCUGCGGGCAUCCAACGACGAUUAAAGAUUUCAUCGGUCAGGGAUGGGGAUGCGUCUGAUUAGCUUGUUGGCGGGGUAACGGCCCACCAAGGCUACGAUCAGUAGGGGUUCUGAGAGGAAGGUCCCCCACAUUGGAACUGAGACACGGUCCAAACUCCUACGGGAGGCAGCAGUGAGGAAUAUUGGUCAAUGGGCGAGAGCCUGAACCAGCCAAGUAGCGUGCAGGAAGACGGCCCUAUGGGUUGUAAACUGCUUUUAUGCGGGGAUAAAGUGAGGGACGUGUCCUUCAUUGCAGGUACCGCAUGAAUAAGGACCGGCUAAUUCCGUGCCAGCAGCCGCGGUAAUACGGAAGGUCCUGGCGUUAUCCGGAUUUAUUGGGUUUAAAGGGAGCGUAGGCCGUGGAUUAAGCGUGUUGUGAAAUGCAGGUGCUCAACGUCUGCACUGCAGCGCGAACUGAUCCACUUGAGUGUGCGCAACGCAGGCGGAAUUCGUCGUGUAGCGGUGAAAUGCUUAGAUAUGACGAAGAACUCCGAUUGCGAAGGCAGCUUGCGGGAGCACAACUGACGCUGAAGCUCGAAAGUGCGGGUAUCGAACAGG
RNAcentral lists this ribosomal RNA (760 nucleotides) under uncultured Prevotella sp. RNAcentral's name for it is "bacterial SSU rRNA". It matches the Rfam family "Bacterial small subunit ribosomal RNA", at positions 28 to 776 of the family's 1533-position model. The record is from RNAcentral. Lineage: Bacteria; Pseudomonadati; Bacteroidota; Bacteroidia; Bacteroidales; Prevotellaceae.